This 1824-nucleotide unclassified non-coding RNA is filed under the name Hevea brasiliensis (rubber tree). The record is from RNAcentral. Lineage: Eukaryota; Viridiplantae; Streptophyta; Magnoliopsida; Malpighiales; Euphorbiaceae.
GCUCGAUGCUUGUAUCAUGUAAAAUAUCCUUUGAGAAUUUCUGUAAAUUAACCUAGUCUUUUCAUGUAAAACAUUCGGGCGCUCAUCAGCACAGUUAAAAACAAAAAAAAAAACUUACAAAAUUUAACAGGAAAAACUUGUGGCCUCUAAUAUCUAUCCAUUAUAAGCCAACAAGUUCACUACAUUGCUCUCUUGGCUUGGAGGGACAUUCUAGCAUAAACGCUACAGCCUACAAACCAAACAUGCCUAGUUCAGUGGCCUUCUCCUUCUCGAAUGUCUCAAAAUACUGGUAAAUGAUUGUGACUGCAAGAAGGAUUCCAGUUCCUGAUCCAAUCGCUCCCAUCAAGUCUGCCAAAACUGUCAAUGCACCAAUGCAAACUCCUCCAAAGGCAGCUGCAGUAGGUAUGUAACGAUUUAGUUCCUUCUGCAGGUUGGAAUCACGAUGACCAGGCAUCACCAUUUGUUGCUCCUUGAGCUGUUUGGCAACAUCUCUGGCAGACGAUCCAGAAACUUCAAUCCAGGUCUUUGAGAACAGGGCACAGGCUGAUAACAUGAACACUAUAUAGAAAAGAGCAUGGAACGGAUGCGACACCAUUUCUGCCAAGCUUGAUGGCGCAGUGACAAGGUAAGCAAGACCAGCAACAGGAACAGAUUGUCCAGAAUAUUCAGAUUCUUUCCAAGUUCCUAUCAUAUCCACGAUGAAAUUUCCUCCAUAUCUCCUGUAGAGCAACUGAGAGAUGAAAUACAGGUUUGAGACAAGUGCGGACUGCAAAAUAAUAGGCAUGUUUGAGGUGUAGAAGAGUUUAAUUGGGUAAGAACCUUGCUGUCCACGAGCAUUCUUAGAUCUAACAGGUAAAACUACACGGAAUCCUUGGAAGUAGAUAACGAUGAGGAAGAUCAACACAGUUGCAAGCAGAUUUGUCACAUUGGGGAGACUUUGCCGGUAGAAAGCCUCACGCAAGGCACUAAUCCUAUUAGAUCUAGUAAUAGUAAGAUGGAACAGAGCAAUUAUAGCUCCUUCAAAUUCAGCACCACGCCCGGUAUUGAUGGUUGUGGGACUAAAUGCUUUCCAGAUAAUGCUUUCACAGAUAUUGGUAGCUAUGAACAAGGAAAUUCCAGAGCCAAGACCAUAUCCUUUCUGAAGAAGUUCAUCUAAGCACAUGACAAUGAUAGCAGCAAAGCAGAGUUGGAGGAUAAUGAGGAUAGCAUUUCCAACACCCAAUUGGCUAACACUGCCAUACAUCCCCGACAGGACAUAAGCAACUGCCUCACCGACAGCAAUCAGGAUACCCAAUAGCUUUUGAGCACCAUUAAGGAGUGCUCGGUCCUCCCGAACAUUGUUGUCCACUUGAAUGAUUUUUGAUCCAGCUAACAAUUGCAUCACCAUUCCAGAAGUCACAAUUGGAGUAAUUCCAAGUUCCAUGACUGUACCACGGUUUGAGGCAAGAAUGACACGCAUCCAGUAAAAAGGAUCCGCGCCAGUUGUAGAGUGUAUGCCAUAAAGAGGGAGCUGACUGCAAACCAGAAAAAUAGCAAGCGCAAUUACAGUAUAGAUGACCUUCUCUUUGAAUUGAACCUUCCUGUCAGCACUCUGAACUUCAGGUAGAAAAGAAAGAAAUGGUUUCACAAGGUGCAGCACUCUGAAUCCUCCUCCCAUUGUUCACUAUUAACAGAACUAUCUAGAGGUAGCGACGAUCUGGAGAUGUCCGUGGACUGUUAUUCGCUCGAUUUCUCCGUCGAGCUAUGCUUCUAUUUGUAGGGUUUUGACCAUGAGAGAGAGGAGAGGGAGAGAAGGGGCGGAUCUGACGGAUUUAUGUGUAAGCG